RNAcentral lists this ribosomal RNA (482 nucleotides) under uncultured beta proteobacterium. RNAcentral's name for it is "bacterial SSU rRNA". It matches the Rfam family "Bacterial small subunit ribosomal RNA", at positions 30 to 509 of the family's 1533-position model. The record is from RNAcentral. Lineage: Bacteria; Pseudomonadati; Pseudomonadota; Betaproteobacteria.
AUUGAACGCUGGCGGAAUGCUUUACACAUGCAAGUCGAACGGUAGAGGGGGCAACCCCUUGAGAGUGGCGAACGGGUGAGUAAUAUAUCGGAACGUGCCCAGUCGUGGGGGAUAACGUAGCGAAAGUUACGCUAAUACCGCAUACGAUCUAAGGAUGAAAGCGGGGGAUCGCAAGACCUCGCGCGAUUGGAGCGACCGAUAUCAGAUUAGGUAGUUGGUGGGGUAAAGGCUCACCAAGCCAACAAUCUGUAGCUGGUCUGAGAGGACGACCAGCCACACUGGAACUGAGACACGGUCCAGACUCCUACGGGAGGCAGCAGUGGGGAAUUUUGGACAAUGGACGCAAGUCUGAUCCAGCCAUUCCGCGUGCAGGAUGAAGGCCCUCGGGUUGUAAACUGCUUUUGUACGGAACGAAAAGGUUUCUCUUAAUACGAGGAGCUCAUGACGGUACCGUAAGAAUAAGCACCGGCUAACUACGUGCC